CGGGGUGCACCAGGCGCGAAAACUUUACAAUGCCGGCAACGGCGAUAAGGGGACCUCGAGUGCCAGGUUACAAAUCUGGCUGUCGUGAUGCCUAAAAAGCAUUGCAUAGCAAGGGCCGGGCAAGACCGGUGCCAGCCGCCGCGGUAACACCGGCGGCUCGAGUGGUAACCGUUAUUAUUGGGUCUAAAGGGUCUGUAGCCGGCCGGAUAAGUCUCUUGGGAAAUCUGGCAGCUUAACUGUCAGGCUUUCAGGAGAUACUGUCUGGCUCGAGGCCGGGAGAGGUGAGAGGUACUUCAGGGGUAGGGGUGAAAUCUUGUAAUCCUUGAAGGACCACCAGUGGCGAAGGCGUCUCACCAGAACGGACCUGACGGCAAGGGACGAAAGCUAGGGGCACGAACCGGAUUAGAUACCCGGGUAGUCCUAGCCGUAAACGAUACUCGCUAGGUGUCGGCCACGGUGCGACCGUGGUCGGUGCCGUAGGGAAGCCGUGAAGCGAGCCACCUGGGAAGUACGGCCGCAAGGCUGAAACUUAAAGGAAUUGGCGGGGGAGCAC
This 553-nucleotide ribosomal RNA is filed under the name uncultured archaeon. Its description in RNAcentral is "bacterial SSU rRNA". It matches the Rfam family "Archaeal small subunit ribosomal RNA", at positions 326 to 879 of the family's 1478-position model. The record is from RNAcentral.